Molecule: transfer RNA, 65 nt
Filed under: Novaculina chinensis
Lineage: Eukaryota; Metazoa; Mollusca; Bivalvia; Adapedonta; Pharidae
Description: tRNA-Cys
Source: RNAcentral
AGCCCUAUAUUCUAAAUUAAGAUGAUGAGCUGCAACCUCAUCGAUGAAAUAAAUUUCUGGGGCCU